Molecule: ribosomal RNA, 578 nt
Filed under: Burkholderia sp.
Lineage: Bacteria; Pseudomonadati; Pseudomonadota; Betaproteobacteria; Burkholderiales; Burkholderiaceae
Description: bacterial SSU rRNA
Rfam family: Bacterial small subunit ribosomal RNA
Source: RNAcentral
UCUACGGAUGAAAGCGGGGGAUCUUCGGGCCUCGCGCUAUAGGGUUGGCCGAUGGCUGAUUAGCUAGUUGGUGGGGUAAAGGCCUACCAAGGCGACGAUCAGUAGCUGGUCUGAGAGGACGACCAGCCACACUGGGACUGAGACACGGCCCAGACUCCUACGGGAGGCAGCAGUGGGGAAUUUUGGACAAUGGGCGAAAGCCUGAUCCAGCAAUGCCGCGUGUGUGAAGAAGGCCUUCGGGUUGUAAAGCACUUUUGUCCGGAAAGAAAUCCUUGGCUCUAAUACAGCCGGGGGAUGACGGUACCGGAAGAAUAAGCACCGGCUAACUACGUGCCAGCAGCCGCGGUAAUACGUAGGGUGCGAGCGUUAAUCGGAAUUACUGGGCGUAAAGCGUGCGCAGGCGGUUUGCUAAGACCGAUGUGAAAUCCCCGGGCUCAACCUGGGAACUGCAUUGGUGACUGGCAGGCUAGAGUAUGGCAGAGGGGGGUAGAAUUCCACGUGUAGCAGUGAAAUGCGUAGAGAUGUGGAGGAAUACCGAUGGCGAAGGCAGCCCCCUGGGCCAAUACUGACGCUCAUGC